GCGGUGAGCUGAGCUCUGGCUGGGUUGGGGGCUCUGUGUGACUCACAGCGGGGGCUCAGAGGCCGCUGCCCCCCAGGACCCCGUGGGGCGACGCCGAUGGCACCGCGGAGCCGGGCAGCAUCUUUGACUACGAAGCUGACACGGCGCCGGCACAGCGUGGGCAGCCCCCAGGAGCUGCGCCUGCAGUGCAGCCCAUCGAGGUGCAGCUGCAGCGGGAAUUGGAACAGCUGAGUGCUGAACUGGAUGAGGACCUCCGUGCCAUGGAGCGGCCGCAGCGGUGCCCCACUGCCCGCAGCACCCGCAGCACCCACAGAGCAUCGCCGCCCCCCACGGCACCGCUGAGCGCGCUGUCCCCCCAUGGGCUGCAGGGCCGCCCCGCUGUCCCCACGGAGCAGGAGGGGCCGGGGGGG
RNAcentral lists this long non-coding RNA (410 nucleotides) under Chrysolophus pictus (golden pheasant). RNAcentral's name for it is "lncRNA (ENSCPIG00010011935.1)". Lineage: Eukaryota; Metazoa; Chordata; Aves; Galliformes; Phasianidae. The record is from RNAcentral.